CCGCGAUCAGGAUCCCGUCACCGGGCAGAAACCCACCCGUCGCUCGCGACAUGAUCACGGCGGAUGUGUGCGCGUGCGCCGAAUGUGAAACUGUCACAGCGCCGCCUGCUGUGAGGAAGAAGACGCUUAACCGUGGUGUGUGCAGUACAGCAGAGGCCCUCGCCGCGGGCGGUCUCAUACACGGGCGACACACACACCCGACUGGUGUGGCCCAGCUCUGACAGCAGGGUGGACUGUGAACGUGGUGGCAGGAACAGUGAGGAAGACGACGGCCAGUCUUCAUUCUUCCAACUCACCCAAUAUCCCAUCAGCCCCUCUCCUCCGCCCCGCCAAUCAACGUUCACGGAGCCCCGCCCCGCUGGGGUCAGCCAAAGGCUUUAAUGGACGUGGCCCUCUGCUGGCCAGAGGAGUGCAGCGCAGUGACAGUGAUGAGAUAUUCAGUGUGUUUCUGGAGGAGUUUGAGGAGAGCGGUGCUCUGAUUGGAGGGCAGUGUCAUCGUUCGGACCGGCCCGC
Long non-coding RNA from Triplophysa dalaica, 513 nucleotides. RefSeq lists it as uncharacterized. The transcript has 3 exons. The record is from RefSeq and is a predicted model, not a curated record. NCBI's taxonomy places the organism in Eukaryota, Metazoa, Chordata, Actinopteri, Cypriniformes, Nemacheilidae.